Molecule: long non-coding RNA, 8551 nt
Organism: Alexandromys fortis (reed vole)
Lineage: Eukaryota; Metazoa; Chordata; Mammalia; Rodentia; Cricetidae
Exons: 5
Source: RefSeq, a predicted model, not a curated record
AGUGAGGCAGCUCUGCCCGGGGACGGAUCGGAGAGGAAGGGGGCGCCGGCGCGAGUUGUGGGGGUCACGGAGUUCGCGGUGCCCACCCGAUGGCCGCCGGGCCCGCCAUUCCCCGCAGCCACCGUCCAGUUCCCCAGACCCCACGCCACAGGCGCGGAAACCUCGCCGAGCGCAUCCGCCUUCCUUCCACGUACCUGACCGGCCGGGCGUUCUCCGGGGACAAAGGUGUCCUGGGAGCAGAGCCGAGCCCUCUCACCAGUGUGCCCCCCUCCGGAGCGGAGGGCUACCCCCGGGGGACUCUCUCCGAGCACCGAGAGGGAGGUUCCAUUGCAACCUCUGGUGACAGAACGGGCCUACCGGGGUGCUCGGGGGUCUGAGGGUAAAUGGCAGCGUGGAGAAACAGGCCUGCCCCCCACAGUGUCUGCUGAGACGGUGACCUGCGACGGGAGGGCUUCCUGCAUGGGAAAGGGCUCCCCCUCUGACCCCAGCGCCAAAGGGAAAAAAGUCACUUUCUUCACCUAGUCUCAGGAGCCAGGACACCGACUUCAAAGUAUCUGCUCGGCUUUGUGUUCCUUGACCAGAUAUCUGAACGAGACUGAAGGACUACAAACGACUCACAAGAGAAAGUCAGGCUUUUGAACGGCCACUCGAACUUUUCCAGGGGUUGGCAACUACUGCUAAACGGAGUUCGUAUUUCUUCCUUAUUCUUCAUUUUUCAAAAUACCGACUGGACAAAGAACUGCCAAACGGGCAAAGGAUGGCAAAUUCUUCUCCGCCCUUCAGAAUUCAGGCACUAUAGAAAGACUCAAAUCGGAAGCCUUCCACAUCCCAGACUACCUGGAAAGAUAGCGUUUUGAAGGGCAGAGGGUAGGGAAAGGGGGCAAGGUGGAGCAUGCAUCCUGAAGCAUGGAAAAGAAGGAGAACCGAAGUCGUGCACUGGUUCCUCUCAGAACAGCACAGAGGGAGAACAAAUGGGCCGUUCUUCAUUACAGGAGGACCAAGGAAAUAAUUCAGUAGUUGGACAGAGUGAUGCAUGCUUUUACUCCAAGCACUCAGGAGGCAGGGGGAGGAUCUCUGUGAGUUCCAGUCCAGCCUGGUCUACAUAGUGAGUUCCAGGGCAGCCAGAGCUACAUAGUGAGACCAGCAUCCAUGGGAGGCAGGUCACAACUGCGUGUAAUUCCAGCCGCUUACAUGGGCACACACAGUCACAUAAUUAAAAAUAAAUCUUAAAAAAACAUGCCCUGCAACUUAACUGAGCAACACGGGCUGGCCUCAAGGCAGAGUGCUGGGCUUACAGGCAUGCAGCCACCAUGCACAGCCUAAAAAUAACUCCUUAAGAUGACACUGGAUGUCAUAAAUCAGGAGAGGAGAACGUAAGAGAAAGGAGUGGAGAGAGCUGAAGCUGGGUUCUACUCCAGCUGAUCCCCACACAAGUUGCCUGGGCCAACUAUCGAAUCGUUUCAAGUUUCACCAACCUCGUGCUGAAGAUUCCCAGUGCCCUUUCGAGAUGGAAAGGUCCCUUUGGGGUUUUUUGUUUUGGUAGAAGGUAUAAUAUACCUGAGGCUAACCUAGAUCUCUCAGUGUGGCUGAGGAUGACCUUGAACUUCUGAUCUACCUUCCUCUGUCUUCCAAGAGCUAGGAUUAAUUACAGGGUACAAGCUAGGCAGUCUUACCAAAUGAGCUACAUUCCCAGCACACAGACACACCCUUAUUAGUAUUUUUAGAGUCUGUGUAGCCAAGAGUGGCCUCAAUUCUCAAUCCUCCUGCUUCAGCCCUCUAGGAGAUGGGAGUUAUAGGCAUGUGGCCUCACACCUGUCUCCUCAGUGCAAAUUUUUUUGUGUGUUUUUGUUUUUUUUGAGACAGAAUUUGUCUGUGUAACAGUUACAGCUAUCCAUCCUGGAACUUGCUCUGUAGACCAGGCCGGCCUCGAACUCACAGAGAUCCGCCUGCCUCUGCCUCCUGAGUGCUGGGAUUAAAGGCAUGCGCCACCACGCAGCCUGAGUAUAUUUUUUUAAGGAAUCACUAGAACACAGAGAUAAAAAAUUUUUUUCACUCUUCUUAAUUUUCUGUACAUAUCAAAGAACCUAAUACCAUCCCGGGUCUCCUUACCCGAGACUCAACAGCCAUUCCAACAGGAACUGCUUACAGGAAUUGCUUAGAGUAAUUGAGUGAGUCUUUAUAUUAAGCAUCAUAUAAUUCAAAAUAUCAAUACAAUACUAGCCAAGCAUGAUGGCGCACACCUCUAAUCCCAGUACUUGAGAGGCAGAUCCAGGCAGAUCAUCUGGCUGGACGUACGUGAGAGUAGCUAUGGUUUUCUCCAAGGUUUGUUGUGCAGAUUUCAAAGCCAAUGAGGGUUACUUUGCCCAAGAAUUGGGGAAAUGUGGGCUAAACUUCAGCAGAAUCCUUUGCUGUACACCUUACAGAGUCUGUUGUAUGUGUUCUGUAUGGGACUGCCCCCGAGAAUUUUCAUUCCCCAUGUGCUUUCCUGACAUUUGCUUUUGGAAGCAUGGAAAGCAAUCUGGUUGAUUGUUGAAGAAUUAACUCGUAGGAAAAGUACCUUGAGGAAAAACCAGGGUCCGUUAAGCCCUUUUUACUGUGAACAUAUCCUCUUAGACCCCUGAGUACUACAGAUUUUUCUAGUUUUUUUUUGGUUUUGAGACAAAGGCUCACUCCGCCCUAAGCUGGCAGAAGCUUGCAGCAGUCGUCUUUCCUCUGCCUACCUAGUGUGCUAGAAUUACAGGUGAGAGUCGCCACACCCACCUCUGGCACACAUGUUCUGGAAUCUUCCACAAUGGUCACCAUCUUCAAGAGAUGGUGAUACAGAGCCAGAGAGAUGGCUCAGCUGUUAAAGGCUAGGCUCACAACCAAAAGGGUAAGAGGUGAUUUGAUGGGCACUGCUGCCGCUAAGCCUAACAGCUAUCACUGGCCAUGGCUGUAGCACUUCAGGUUCCUGGUGGCUCACGCGUUUAACAUCCCGGCACCCAAGAGGCUGAGGGUUAUCAGGGUCAUCCUGAGAUACAGAGCGAGAGCCUGUCUCCAAAAGUGAAAGCAGCAUCAGGCAGAGUGGGCUAUGGUGCCCCUGUGCCCGUGUGCUGGCACGGCUGCCACCUCUUCCUCUAAGAGGCUGUGGUGUAAUGACCUGGAGCACAGACUUUACCCUCCAGAAGCCCUUGAUUCUGAUCCUGGCCCAGGCUCUUAAAGGGUGCGGAUCCUUAAGCUCCAAGCCUCAGCUUUUUUAUCAGCGAAAUGGUGUUUCAACCUCACAGGAAUGCUGGCGGAUUAAGUGAGAAAGUUUUGGACUGGAGAGAUGGCUCAGAGGUUAAGAGCAUUGCCUGCUCUUCCAAAGGUCCUGAGUUCAAUUCCCAGCAACCACAUGGUGGCUCACAACCAUCUGUAAUGGGGUCUGGUGCCCUCUUCUGGCCUGCAGGCAUACACACAGACAGAAUAUUGUAUACAUCAUAGAUAGAUAGAUAGAUAGAUAGAUAGAUAGAUAGAUAGAUAGAUAGGAAAAAAAGUUUAUAUGCCUGACAGUAAUCCCUGAAUUAACGGACCCCAGCACAACUUCCCAUUUCUGCCGGGGCUCUAUGCACUUCUCCAUAGUUUGGUUUGGCAGUGCAGUUUGAUUUGGAAAAACAGGCUGCCAGCAGACUGAGCACUUGCAGCAGGAAAGGGAUUGCAUGUCGUAAAAGCAUUACAUUUUGGGGGGUGGUUAUUCCAAUUUUUGGUCGGUGUAACAAAUACCUGAGAAAACUUACACAAGCUGGGGCUUAUUGGGCUCAUGGUCCUAGGGUCCAAUGCUUCAUGUAGAAGGGCAGGAUGGAGCAGAAGUGUUCAUCUUGUACAGGAACGAGGAGUGACAGGAAGUGGCCUGAGACAAGAUAUGCUUCAAAGUUCUGCCCUCAGUGACCUGUUUUUCCUUCCAAGGCCCUAAGAGUCAUUUGUUUAUGAACUAAUACAUGGACCGAUUGUUGAUGAAGUCAGUCACCCAACAGUGCCACCAAAGUGAGACCAAGCUUCAAAUACAAGAGCCCUUUGGAAGAACACUACAUACCCAAACAGUAAAAAAUAAAAUCUCUUCAUUUAUGGUCAUCCCCUACCCUGUAAAUUUAGAAGGCUCAGACUUUUGUGUUGUUGGAUAUUGAACCCAGGGGCUAUACCUCCUCCAGCCGAGGGUGUAACACAGUAAAGAUGACACGAACUGUUCUCAGGGCCAGUGUAGAAGAGGCGGUGUUUGGGAGGUGAUACAACACUGUUCCAGUCUCAUCUGCAAGCUGACCACGGUUCCAUGAGCAGUGUUCACACAGUAUCAGCGACCAUCACGUGACUGUGGCUGACAGUGGGGAGGCUGACAUGUGGAAUUUUCAUCUGUGUACUUUCCUGCAAGCAGGUGAUGGACGGCAUGUCUGUUCUCCAUCAAACAGUUAUUUGAUGGUUCCCAAUAUCGUGUUACCUUUAAGACUGCUCAUGGACUCACGGUCACAGUUUUCAGAUGAGGAGACCGAGAGGGGAUGAGACUGGUGUCGGACACCAGUCUUGACAAAAAUACCUCUUGCCAGACUGAAACAUCUGGAGAUCAGCCCAGAGCCUUGCAUAUGCUAGACAACCACUCUACCACUGAGCUAAACCCUAAGCUAAGCAGUCAUUCUUCCUGCACAACACAGCUCACAGGAGAGCAGAGAUGUCCACAGAGAAGAAAGGGAUCCUCCAUCAGCGGCAGGUAGGUCCCGGCUAGACGGGUGUGAGUAAAGCCUUUUAAGAACUGAUCUUGUGCUGGGUGGUGGCGGCGCACACUUUUAAUCCCAGCACUCAAAAGCAGAGGCAGGCAGAUCUCUGUGAGUUCGAGGACAGCCUGGUCUGCAGAGUGAGUUCCAGGCAGCCAAGGCUACACAGAGAAACCCUGUCUCAGAAACAAACAAUUGAUCAUGUGAUGCAGAUGAGAGCAACUCUAAACUUCCUGGAAGACUCCAUGGUCUGUAAAUUUUUAAUAGUACUGUAAAAAAAAAAAAAUGGGUCAAUUGAAGUGAUCAGAGGAGAGUAACUUGUGAAUGAACAGCACCAUCAACAGCAGCUGGCUUCUGUGCUCUGCAGCGACUCCUAACUAUCCACACAGCAGGGGGCCGGUUAUAAACUACACAAUUGUGGGUGUCUCCACUAACACCAAACACUUGGGUGUGCACAUUAAGACAGACAUGAUACCAUAAUCGUGUAUGAACUAUUCCACCUCUAGUGGGAGGACCAGACAUUAUGCAGGAACCUGUUUGCCUCAUGAUAAGAUGAUGAUGGCUGGCAUGCCAAGGGUCAGGAAACUACAACCUCCAGGCUCCAUUUGCCCUACCUGGCCUUGUAUGAAUUUUGAGCUAAGAAUGAUUUUUAUGUUUUUAUACGGUUGUACUACAUUGCCCAGAGUGAUGCAGAACUCCUGCAGCCUCCCAAGCAACUGGGACAACAGGCCCACUCCUAGCUUACAUUUUUAAACGGUUGGAAAAAGAAAUGUUUUAUGACAUAUGAAAAGUAUAUGAAAAUUAUCCAAGCUCAAGCUUGAUUCUUUUAUAACAAUCACAUAUUCCUUUUCACACCAGCUCACUGGGAAAGAAGCCUUUGAUCCCAGCACUCGGGAGGCAGAGGCAAGAGGAUCUCUGAGAAUUUGAGGCCACCCUCGUCCACAUAAAGAAAGUGCUGGAGGCCCUGGAGCUGGGGAGACUGGCAGCUAUGAGCAGUCUGAUGUGGGUGCUGGGACUGCAAAGAGCACCUGAACCAUCUCUCAAGUUCCUCUUCUGGUUUCUUUUAACUUAAAACACGGUCUGUUCUGCAGCUUGCCCCUCACCCCUGGCCAUUAGUUUCUGCUUCCUUUACAGGUUUGGAGAUGAGAAGUAGUCAACCUCUUAGUGAGCCCUUCAGGUUCAGCAUCCUUGCCACGUAUGGCAGCACACACUGGGAACCCCAGCACGUGGGAAGAUGAGGCAGGAGGAUUGCUGUAAACUCAAGCCCGGCCUGUGCUAUACUCAGGUCUACAGUCAUGCCGUAGCCUUUACUACAGAGCAGCCUCCUGAGUUUUGUGCGGUCUUGUUAUCCUGAAGACUCCACAAAACGAGCCGAGUGUGUGAUGGACCCACGGGCUCAGCAGAGACAACAUUUCCCGAGUCUGCCUGAGUGGGGAAUUGCAUGGUCUGCUUGGUGAGGAUUCAAGACCGUCCCACUUUAACCUCCCCUACCUCACUCUUUCCAGAUUAACAGACAACUCCAAAGCCCUCCAUUGCUGCUUAUUUGUUUCUGUUGCUCUUUCCACAAGGGGAAAGCGGGGAUGCAGCCCCCGACCCCAAAUGACAGCCGAGUUUUCCACAUUUUGGGAAAUCACGGGAGUCCACAAUCAGGAGCACAGCGGAUGGGGCUCACUCGACAAAAUCAUCUUGGCGAUCACAGCAGCUUUAUCUGCCAGGUAGGCACACACUGCCAUCGGCAUCUUGAUGGCCUCCAUGAGAGCUGCCCAGGGCAAGCCAGCAUCUGCCACUCACACGAUUGUAGUGCAGAGGCUGUGGCCUGGCAGCCUGGAAUACCAAGAAGCCUGACCAGCCAGGAGCAGGCUUGGCGACAGCAGCUCAGGGCUCAGAUGGUCCCUGGCCCCGCCACUGCACAGCCCUGCCUGUCACAGAUGGACGGCUUUCACAGCCACCGAUUCACGUUCUUCACUCUGCCUCAUGAGUGAGAGGACAGCAGCUAGGGACCGAUCUCUGACCUUGACACAUAAACAGCCUACAAGAUUGCACUUGCCAAUUAAUAAGGGGUGGACCCAGUGGUUCGCCAAUGCCCUUCUGCUUUAAUUAGAACCAGCAUUCAAAGGCCUCUGGGGAAAAUCUUCCAUCUGAAGUAAAGCUGAGAAGUUUCCACGUCAUUCAUUCCAUCAUUCAUUCAUUCAGUCACUAGCACGGACAGUCAUCCGUGCACAAUCAUCUGUGCUCACCACGGUGCUGAGCGCUUCAAGAAUUCCCAAAGCCCACUCACUCGCGCUGUCAGAAAACAGUGGACAGGCAGGCAGGCAGUCAAGGGAACACGCUCUUAUUUCACAGACCUUCCGGCUCGUUUCUGCUGUGUGACCUUUGGCACACUAGUUAACCUCUCGGCCCUCGGCUUCCUCUAGGGGUUAAUGAUCCCACCCUCCAGAGGUUUCAGCGAGUUUAAGUGAGACCAUCUGAGUACAACAGUCAGCGAGCCGGCAAGCAGCCACCAUAGCGCUGGCCCAACCCCCUCUCCCUCCUGGUCUCUUUCCCCUGGCACUCUGCCAGCCACGGGGAGCCUCAGGAGGACUCAGUCUCUGCCCUCAGUCCUGCUGAGCUCCGUCACCCACCGUCACCCACUGACAGCUCUAAGAUGGGUGGCCACGGCUCUAAGAAGAGCAUCAGUGUGAAGCCAGAGGCUCUCCCUGAGGAAAGGACCACGGGGACUCACCUUAAGGCAUCUGCUACUGGCUUGCCAUCAGAUGUCUCAGGCGUCUUCCGUCACUAUGUCUUUAUUUUCCUGAAUGUUCUUCAUGUUAGAGUUGCCAGCACUUGCAGGUCGAGUUAGCAUUAAUCACACUGUGAAGCAUUUGUGUGAGGCGGUCACCAGGAAAAGCCAGGAGGACCCUAUCUAUCCCGUGCUCACCCCACACCCUGACACCUUGUCAAGGCUCUCCAAAGCCUCAGGGGCCUCUGGGCCACCUGGGCUGUUCUCUGGGGAGUGUCCUGAAGCUCAGCGCAGCCCACCUUUCAAGUGGCUGUCCUGGAACUCGCUCUGUAGACUAGUGUGGCCUCGAACUCACAAAGAUCUGCCUGCCUCUGCCUCCUGAAUGCUGGGAUUAAAGGUAAUGUACCACCACUGGUUUUUUUUUUUUGUUUUUUUUUUUUUUUUGAGACAUGGUCUCAUUCUGAAGCCCGGGCACAUUCAACUCUAUCUUCAUUUUUAAUCCUCAUUUUUUUUUUCAGGAAAAAAUUUAAGCCUAGAGAAAAUUGAAAAAAAAAAAUUACUAGUCUCUGUCUAGGUUUUUUUUCCUUAAUCAGAAUUUUGCCACCUUUGCACUCUCUCCCUGUCUCCAUUAAGGGUAUAUAAUAUGCCUCAUGUAUUAUGUGUAGAUACACACACGUACAGGUUUAGCAUUGUUGAGCCACUGAGAAGUUUCAGAAACGCUGCUUUUCCAUUCUUAAACGUGGCUACUGAAACAGCCCGUUUGGCUCCCUGUGCCAGUCCCUGAAACUCAGCUUAUUCUUUUUUUUUUUUUUUUUCCGAGACAGAGUUUCUCUGUAGCUUUGGGGCCUGUGUGAGUUUAUUCUAGAGGCUUCUAGAGGCACCCAAGGGUGAGGAGCUGGAGUUCUGUCUUAAAUCCUGAGAAGCAGGGCGAAUGGUGUGGGAAGUCCUUCUGUGUAUGGGUGGCUUUUAUUGGUUAAUCAAUAAAGCUGCUUUGGCCUAUGGCAGGGCAGAAUAAAGUGGUAAUUCCGUGCGGAGAUAGAGGAGAAAAGAGGGCAGAGUCAGGGAGACGCCAUGUAGCUGCCAAAUGAGCCUCAUGGUAAAAUAUAAUAGG